Molecule: ribosomal RNA, 253 nt
Filed under: uncultured bacterium
Lineage: Bacteria
Description: partial 16S ribosomal RNA
Rfam family: Bacterial small subunit ribosomal RNA
Source: RNAcentral
UACGUAGGGGGCUAGCGUUGUCCGGAAUCAUUGGGCGUAAAGCGCGUGUAGGCGGUCCGGUAAGUCCGCUGUGAAAGUCGGGGGCUCAACCCUCGGAUGCCGGUGGAUACUGUCGGGCUUGAGUACGGAAGAGGCGAGUGGAAUUCCUGGUGUAGCGGUGAAAUGCGCAGAUAUCAGGAGGAACACCAAUUGCGAAGGCAGCUCGCUGGGACGUUACUGACACUGAGGCGCGAAAGCGUGGGGAGCGAACAGG